CCUACGGGCGGCAGCAGUGGGGAAUAUUGGACAAUGGGGGGAACCCUGAUCCAGCGACGCCGCGUGAGUGAAGAAGUAUUUCGGUAUGUAAAGCUCUAUCAGCAGGGAAGAAAGAAAUGACGGUACCUGACUAAGAAGCCCCGGCUAACUACGUGCCAGCAGCCGCGGUAAUACGUAGGGGGCAAGCGUUAUCCGGAUUUACUGGGUGUAAAGGGAGCGUAGACGGCGAUGCAAGUCUGAAGUGAAAGGCGGGGGCCCAACCCCCGGACUGCUUUGGAAACUGUAUGGCUGGAGUGCAGGGGAGGUAAGUGGAAUUCCUAGGGUAGCGGUGAAAUGCGUAGAUAUUAGGAGGAACACCAGUGGCGAAGGCGGCUUACUGGACUGUAACUGACGUUGAGGCUCGAAAGCGUGGGGAGCAAACAGGAUUAGAUACCCCUGUAGUC
This 443-nucleotide ribosomal RNA is filed under the name uncultured bacterium. Its description in RNAcentral is "partial 16S ribosomal RNA". It matches the Rfam family "Bacterial small subunit ribosomal RNA", at positions 338 to 795 of the family's 1533-position model. The record is from RNAcentral.